Molecule: ribosomal RNA, 484 nt
Filed under: uncultured bacterium
Lineage: Bacteria
Description: partial 16S ribosomal RNA
Rfam family: Bacterial small subunit ribosomal RNA
Source: RNAcentral
AUUGAACGCUGGCGGCAGGCCUAACACAUGCAAGUCGAGCGGAUGAAGGGAGCUUGCUCCUGGAUUCAGCGGCGGACGGGUGAGUAAUGCCUAUGAAUCUGCCUGGUAGUGGGGGAUAACGUCCGGAAACGGGCGCUAAUACCGCAUACGUCCUGAGGGAGAAAGUGGGGGAUCUUCGGACCUCACGCUAUCAGAUGAGCCUAGGUCGGGUUAGCUAGUUGGUGGGGUAAAGGCCUACCAAGGCGACGAUCCGUAACUGGUCUGAGAGGAUGAUCACUCACACUGGAACUGAGACACGGUCCAGACUCCUACGGGAGGCAGCAGUGGGGAAUAUUGGACAAUGGGCGAAAGCCUGAUCCAGCCAUGCCGCGUGUGUGAAGAAGGUCUUCGGAUUGUAAAGCACUUUAAGUUGGGAGGAAGGGCAGUAAGUUAAUACCUUGCUGUUUUGACGUUACCAACAGAAUAAGCACCGGCUAACUUCGUG